RNAcentral lists this ribosomal RNA (460 nucleotides) under uncultured bacterium. Its description in RNAcentral is "bacterial SSU rRNA". It matches the Rfam family "Bacterial small subunit ribosomal RNA", at positions 34 to 507 of the family's 1533-position model. The record is from RNAcentral.
CGCUGGCGGCGUGCUUAACACAUGCAAGUCGAACGGUGAUCCAGGGCUUGCUCUGGUGAUCAGUGGCGAACGGGUGAGUAACACGUGGGCAACCUGCCCCUGACUUUGGGAUAACUCCUCGAAAGAGGGGCUAAUACCAGAUACGACCACUUCGGGCAUCCGAUGGUGGUGGAAAGUUUUUCGGUCAGGGAUGGGCCCGCGGCCUAUCAGCUAGAUGGUGGGGUAGUGGCCUACCAUGGCGACGACGGGUAGCUGGUCUGAGAGGAUGAUCAGCCACACUGGGACUGAGACACGGCCCAGACUCCUACGGGAGGCAGCAGUGGGGAAUAUUGGGCAAUGGAGGAAACUCUGACCCAGCGACGCCGCGUGCGGGAUGAAGGCCUUCGGGUUGUAAACCGCUUUCAGCAGGGAAGAAGCGAAAGUGACGGUACCUGCAGAAGAAGCACCGGCUAACUAUGUG